RNAcentral lists this ribosomal RNA (406 nucleotides) under uncultured bacterium. RNAcentral's name for it is "partial 16S ribosomal RNA". It matches the Rfam family "Bacterial small subunit ribosomal RNA", at positions 30 to 526 of the family's 1533-position model. The record is from RNAcentral.
AUUGAACGCUGGCGGCAGGCCUAACACAUGCAAGUCGAGCGCGUGGCGGACGGGUGAGUAAUGUAUGGGGAACUGCCCGAUAGAGGGGGAUAACUACUGGAAACGGUAGCUAAUACCGCAUACCAUCGGAUGUUCCCAUAUGGGAUUAGCUAGUAGGGGGGGUAAAGGCUCACCUAGGCGACGAUCCCUAGCUGGUCUGAGAGGAUGAACAGCCACACGGGAACGGAGACACGGCCCAGACGCCUACGUGAGGCAGCAGUGGGGAAUAUUGCACAAUGGGCGCAAGCCUGAUGCAGCCAUGCCGCGUGUAUGAAGAAGGCCUUAGGGUUGUAAAGUACUUUCAGCGGGGAGGCGUUACCCGCAGAAGAAGCACCGGCUAACUCCGUGCCAGCAGCCGCGGUAAUAC